RNAcentral lists this ribosomal RNA (421 nucleotides) under uncultured bacterium. Its description in RNAcentral is "partial 16S ribosomal RNA". It matches the Rfam family "Bacterial small subunit ribosomal RNA", at positions 355 to 788 of the family's 1533-position model. The record is from RNAcentral.
UGGGGAAUAUUGGACAAUGGGCGGAAGCCUGAUCCAGCAACGCCGCGUGAGGGAUGACGGCCUUCGGGUUGUAAACCUCUUUCAGUACCGACGAAGCGAAAGUGACGGUAGGUACAGAAGAAGGACCGGCCAACUACGUGCCAGCAGCCGCGGUAAUACGUAGGGUCCGAGCGUUGUCCGGAAUUAUUGGGCGUAAAGGGCUCGUAGGCGGUUUGUCGCGUCGGGAGUGAAAACAGCGGGCUUAACUCGUUGCUUGCUUUCGAUACGGGCAGACUAGAGGUAUGCAGGGGAGAAUGGAAUUCCUGGUGUAGCGGUGAAAUGCGCAGAUAUCAGGAGGAACACCGGUGGCGAAGGCGGUUCUCUGGGCAUUACCUGACGCUGAGGAGCGAAAGUGUGGGGAGCGAACAGGAUUAGAUACCCU